Molecule: long non-coding RNA, 2122 nt
Organism: Cyprinus carpio (common carp)
Lineage: Eukaryota; Metazoa; Chordata; Actinopteri; Cypriniformes; Cyprinidae
Source: Ensembl
GUUCAUUGUCAUGAAGAAAUACAAGAUCAAUUCCAUCCUUUAGCAAUACUGAACACUCACAGACAACCUUUUUUUUUAUUAUUAUUAUUGUUUUAUCAUAACAAUUUUGGUUUGUAAUUUAUUUUACGUAUGUACUAUUUAACAUCAUAUGCUUUUCCCUCUUAUUUAUGACUUUAAUUUGAAUUGCAGAAAUGCUGUUCAUGCAACUCUGCGUACUGUACGUAUAUGUGACUCUCAAACAGUUUUCAGCUUCCAGGUUUAAAUGUUCUCAGCAUGCUUUCUUACUAUCAAAACUGUUUUAGCUGUUUCCCUGCAGUUUUUCCGUUUGGUAGAUUUGAUAAAGUUCUUGUUUUAUGUCAAAAGAAUGUUCUUGUGUUAAAAAAAUGAGAGCUUCUGUUCAUUUGGCCAAUCUUUAUAGAUGUGAGUUGUUAAAAUGACUACUACUGUAUGUAUCAUAAAGAUAUAAGCUGUUUUGUUUACAAAAAUGAAUAUAAGUGCUAUUCAUUUUCUCUCUACCUCAUUUGUUCUUAUUAAUCUGCUUCUGGAGCAUUUUGAAGCACUGAUGUUUAAGUUUGUUCAGAGAAUAAAAGAGUCCAAACGGAUUUUGAGGGUGGAGUGUGAUGUGAGGGUUUUACUGUAUGCAAGAACUGUUUGUUUGAACAGAAAAUAGUGGCUUUUACGACACAGGAAAGGGAAAAAGGAAACAGCUCAAACACGGUGACGCCUAAAGUCCUUGAACUCGGUGUACUGAGCACGCGAGUUCACAGAAUACAGCAGUCCUGCAGAGACACAAACAUGUUUACUGUGGGAGCUUCGCUCUAGUGCUUUUAUGCGACAGGAGUUUCUGGAUACAGUCGUCUCUUCGGGAAGUUAUGAGAGGUGUGUUAUCUAAAGCGUCCAGCGAUCUCACUCAUAAAGUGAAAGUGUCUGAACUUUGGUCACAUAGUGUAUGAGGAAUCUCAGUCUUGCAGCUGUUUUUUUUCUAGCUGACAUGGAGCUAAGACUACAGCGAUUCAUCAGGACCGUCCUGCUUCUGCACAUCUGCUGGCUCUGGAGCGGCCAGUGUUUGUCCGUCCACUUCACAAACCAGCAGUUGCUGUAUGUAAUCAGAGGCCAGACUCUGAUCCUACAUGCACAAAUCGAGCUGCUGGAUGGUGAACAUGUUAAUAAAGUGACGUGGGACCACGUUGCAAAGACUUCUGGGAUGAGUUCAACAUUGGCUGAGUUUCCUCCUAAAGCAUCAGAUGGGAGAGUCACACUGGAACAGCAGGGAGCCACACUGAAGGUCCCAGAUUUUCAGGCAGCAGACGCCGGGGUCUACACGGUCACAGUUACAGACCAGUCAGGACAGAGACAAUCUGCACAGCAAACCGUUCAAGAGUAUCUGGCGGUGCAUCACGUGUCGGUGAUGGUGAAUGUGUCUCACUGGGUUCUUCACUGUAUGGAGGCCUGGGGAACUGAGCCCAUCUUCACUUGGCUGCAUGAGAAAGUGAUUGUAACGGAGAAAGUGGGUCAUGUUUCGGCAGAUGGGACGUCUCUGCACGUCUCCGGCGGCAGCUUCUGCGGACACUUCACCUGUGUGGUGAGCAACAAACUGGGACACAGCUCAGCCACAUACACCGCAGAGGCGUGUGAAAGCACAAACCGGAGCAUGACUGCUGUCGUUGUGUUUCUGCUGCUGAUACUGAUGCUCGCAGCUGCAUCGCUGGCCUUUAUACUGUGGAGGAGACACAGGCGUGGAUAUAACAGAAGAGAGAGACUGAGAGAGCCAUGUGAAGAGACUCUGUGAGCUGAUCUCAGGACAGUUUUACUGCGUUACUGUGACACUGACGAGAGCUGAUGGACUGCCAGUCGCUUGACGCUUUCAGCACGCCUUUUUAUACUUCAUUGAUCAAUGUAUUAUAGAUUUUUGGUUCCUUCCUGGAAAGAUAUUUAUGCAUAUUUAUUUAACCAAGUCAGACUAACAUCAUCAGGAGGUGUAGUUAAUGCAAUCCUUUCUGAAAUACUUGAUUCUGAUUGGUCAGUUAUGACAUUCUGUCAUUAAUAUGAUGACCACUACACUAUUAAUUGACAACUGUCUCAUAUCAAUAAAUUAACAUUUUACUAAUUGAGUAAUUUUUUU